This is a long non-coding RNA of Papaver somniferum (opium poppy), 2701 nucleotides long. RefSeq lists it as uncharacterized. The record is from RefSeq and is a predicted model, not a curated record. NCBI's taxonomy places the organism in Eukaryota, Viridiplantae, Streptophyta, Magnoliopsida, Ranunculales, Papaveraceae. The transcript has 7 exons.
GAUAUGACAAAAGUUUAUGUAAAUCCCAUGUUUUCCUCAAUAGAAAUUGAGCAAUCUAAUCAAUCUGAUCUUUGCAAGCAAUGUAUGAUGGUAACGGGAGUGGACUCAUCCGGAUGGAGUAUUCAAAUGGACGGCCCAAAUUUACGAUGGAAACACGGCCAAACUUAUUAAACGCAGGAGUUUUACCUAUAUAUCAGCUCCCGUUUACACAUGAAUAAACGAAAAUAAUUUUUAUUUUAUUUUUUUGGCUUCUUUUGAUUGUCCCGGAGGAAAGGUUUGAUCAAAAAGACGAUGCAGAAGUAAUGAAUCUGUGUUUAUUUAUUUUCUCUCUCCUUGAUUGUUGUAUUCUGAUUUGUGUUUGCUUUAUGUGCUUGAUGUAGGAAAUUUAGGGGGCAAAAGUUUAUAACAUUGAUUUAGGAGGAAAACUCUAAUUUCAAAGACGCUGCAGAGGAAGGGAAGAACAAGAUGCACGCAUGGUCAUGGAAGACACAAACAUCUUCCAUCAAACAUAAGUUUGAUACUUUGAUGCUGACAAGAUUGCUGAAAGAUUAUCAAAGGCCCAAAUAUCUCCAUAGAACAUAGAUGCAAUCUUUAUAUGGAAGUCCCUAUUUUAACACGGAAAGAUCAUAUUAGCUUGGCUUCUUAAACACGGGAAUCAGGUGGAAGCAUUUGCUAGCGACAUAACUUCUCGAUAAGGAUUUAGGAUUAUUAUGGAAGCUCGAUGCAAAGUUUUUAUAGACUUGCAUGGGUUUGCAUGGGUUUGAUGGAGAACACAGUCUUAGAUUGGCUAACCUGCUGGAAUGUUCUACAGUACCGGGUCUCAAGGUGGUGGUCAGGAAAGAAUUGCAGUUUUCAGUUGUUGCAGCACAUUAGAGCUUGGAUGAGUAUUAUAUAGAUUGUUUGGGGCUGUAUUAUGCAACGACUUAGUGGGGCUAUGGAUGGUUAUUAUGCAGGUCAAAAUCUUCAUCGCAGUUGUAGAACAAUUGCAAAAUACCUCACUGCUGGGAAAUGCAGAAAUUCUACUUUAUGAAAGAACAGGCUAUGCUGAGAUAUGGAUUUGAUGUUUAAUCACAGAGGUCUGUCUCGAGUACAUGAAUUCUGAUUUUGAAACGCCUGUGAUGGUUCCAAAUUAUCUUUUGGUAUAAAGGAGUCAUGCCUCGACCUGUUUCAACGUCUAGGCAGGUCUAUUGGUUGCUAAUAGUGUGCACUAGGUCAAAGCAAAACCGAAAAACAUAGAUUAAGAAAACAUUGACGUUAUUCGGCUGUCGGCUGUGCAACCUGCAAUCUGAUGAUGGCUUAUGGGCCUUAGGCAUUUGAGUGUGCAGAAUCUGCCAUUUGUACGUGAAGUUGUUGAAAAUUUAGGCGGUGCGGAUGAAUUAAAAUAGUUCUGAUGAUUGAUUAUGGGUGGAUGAUUACGGGACUAAUGCGACGGAGAUGGCAAGAGAAAGCAUAAGUGGCCAGCAAAUUUGAAGUGAUGGAGAAAGAUCACAAUGCGUUAUAUUAGUAAUGUAUUAAUCAGUAUGUGUUUACGGGUUGAAAAAUUUACUUCCUAUUGAUUGUGAUUGUCUGAUAUGGGGUGAUGCCAAGUUUGCCAGAGGAAGAGAUGACAAGCAUUUUGAGAAGGAGGGGCCUAUACUCUGUGCUGCAUCAGAUAACUGAAGCAACUACGGUUCCCAAAAUAUGAAGUAAGGCUCAGGUGAGUGUUCAUAGUUUUGGAUAUAUGUUGAUUUGAGCUUGGAAUAACCUUUCGUGGGUUUACUAUCAGUUACCGGCCACAAAGAAAUCGGUGAGCAAUUUACCACAAUAAUUCUUUCUGAGAUAUGAUUUAUAGAUACUUGAAUAUAGGUAGAGUAAUAGAGUGCUUAUCCCUUCUAGAAUGUCAACUCUGCGACUUUCGUAUAAUUCAAACUUUAAGGACGAUACACUUUUACAUUUUUGUAUCUUAGUUUCUAGAAUGUCACCAACCAGAAGUUUUUAAACCAUAUAGGAAAGACUAGGACCAUGAUUGGCUAACCAUGUCACUUGCUCCCUAGGAUGUGAAUGAAGUCCAAUUUGAUAAAGCAUGGGCAUCACUUUGUAGGGGUCUUCUUUGAUGACCUUGAAAGUGGAUCAAGCGCAGUCGCAGCAACACCCACUUCAGGUGGAGAACACAAUUUUUCAAUUUGUUGAUUAGUAUUUCAAUUAUAUAGAAUAAUGCAUUUAAAUGAGUUGAAAUACUGCUUUUACUGUUUGGAGUAAACCGAUUGCAUUCUGGAAAAGAGUUUGGUGACAAACGAGACGAGACACCGGAGUUAUGACUAAACCAGUGGAGUUCUGGACCUCUGGUAUGGAAUGAUGGCUCCUCUACUUGAAUUGCCUACAGAUUGUCUGUUUAAAUUGUUUGAAGAAGCCAGAAAUGCAGAACUUUUAAGAGUUUCAGAAACCCUUAAAAUUUGACGUGCCAUUGUCAAGAAACACCAAUGUAGAACAAGCCUUCCCCAGGGAUAAAUUUAGAUCUUGCAUGAUCAGCACUAUAAACCUACCAUUUCUCUAUGAAAUUGUCCAGAUCUAGGCACCAUGGAUAAAUUUAGAUCUUGCAGACAUUUGUCUAUGAAGUAUGGGUAGUUUUCUAAAUUUUGAUUUAUGUUGUAGCUUUCCUUUGUAUUGGGCCUAUUGGAAUGUUAAUCAGUUUAAGUUUCAAGAAUUUGAAUUCGUUCAAGAA